GUGCUCGCUUCAGCAGCACAUAUACUAAAAUUGGAACGAUACAGAAAAGAUUAGCAUGGCCUCUGCGCAAGUAUGACACACAAACUAGUGAAGCAUUCCAUAUUAUA
Carlito syrichta (Philippine tarsier) is the source of this 107-nucleotide small nuclear RNA. Lineage: Eukaryota; Metazoa; Chordata; Mammalia; Primates; Tarsiidae. The record is from Ensembl.